AGGUCUGUUUGUGAACUGCAGGAUUUUUCCUUUGCUGCCAUUUCGUCAAGCCACAUCAUGAUUCCAUCAGUCUGCAUGAUGUGCGGCAAAGAAUAUGCGAAGCAGAAAUUCAAAAGAAAUGUAUUCAGUUGUGUCAGCAUCUUCCACGCACCUAAGAUGCCAGUGGCCUGCAGACGAAUCAUCCUUUUUAGCCUGUUUUCGGAAAGGAUGAUUAGCACACAGCACUGUUUGACAUUUACGAUGUAUGAAACAAUAAUUUCCUCACUUGCUCUGCAGGUUUUCAGCUCAGUUUUUAGUGUUUGUGUUUUUUUCCCCUCAUCAGUUCAUCACUUGAAGCAAAUUCUGAUAAUUGUUUGGCUUCUGUCUACAUAAUUUAGGUGUGUUCUUGUUUCAUAAAUAUAUGGACGCUUACCUUAUUUUUGAAUGGGAAGAGGGUUUAGUAUGGGUUGCUUGUAGCGCUGAAGAAUCCUUUGUUCCUCUGAAACUGAUAUGACUCAGUAACGUGGACGUGGAUAAAGCAAUAUUUGACUAAAACAGUUGUGAAAAAAGAUCCUCAUUGACAUCCAACAGUAUGCUGCAGGAUUCCAUGACUCUUAAGGUACGUUUUAUUCCAGCUAAAACCAGACAUUGCUUCCUUUGUACACAAAAGGGUGAACCACAUAGUAAAGCUGUCAAGUGGGAAUGAAAACUUCUGUAGUGCGAUUCACACAAAAGAAGCUAGUAGAGAAAUAAUCUAUAUCCAAGCAGCUGACCUGACUGAGCAUUUAAGGUAGGAUAUAGACAAACUGUUGAACAUUCCAGCCUCUUCAUUUCUUUCUGAUUUAUUAUGUCCCCAGAAUAUGAUUCAUUGAUAAUACAUAAAGUGUCUAAAGCCAAUAUUCUUCAAAUAAAAGUGUUGUUGGGGGGCACCAAAACAAGAAUGUGAGCUAACGUGUUGUGCAGUUAAGCAACGUAACUGUUUUCUUCCCACUUGCUAACUUUCCCUGUAGCUGACGGCAGAGUAUAGUUGAAUUUUACUCUCGAGUGUUUCUGGUCUUCAUAUAAUGCAACAUAAGCGGAUCCAGAAAUGUGAGGUGGGACUCAGGGUUUGAGCUAUAGAAGUUGUGAGGCACUUGUAUUUUGUUGAAGGUGCCUUUGUGUGUUUUGCAUACAGGUGGAAUUGAAGUUUUAUAUUUUUCAUACUAACUAAAAUGACCAGCACACAUUCAAAAUAUGAAAAUAAUCAGAUUUUUAAUAAAGCCAAAAUUUG
Amphiprion ocellaris (clown anemonefish) is the source of this 1249-nucleotide long non-coding RNA. NCBI's taxonomy places the organism in Eukaryota, Metazoa, Chordata, Actinopteri, Pomacentridae. The record is from Ensembl.